This 497-nucleotide ribosomal RNA is filed under the name uncultured bacterium. RNAcentral describes it as "partial 16S ribosomal RNA". It matches the Rfam family "Bacterial small subunit ribosomal RNA", at positions 28 to 507 of the family's 1533-position model. The record is from RNAcentral.
GACGAACGCUGGCGGCGUGCCUAAUACAUGCCAGUUGAGCGCUGAAGGUUGGUACUUGUACCGACUGGAUGAGCAGCGAACGGGUGAGUAACGCGUGGGGAAUCUGCCUUUGAGCGGGGGACAACAUUUGGAAACGAAUGCUAAUACCGCAUAAAAACUUUAAACACAAGUUUUAAGUUUGAAAGAUGCAAUUGCAUCACUCAAAGAUGAUCCCGCGUUGUAUUAGCUAGUUGGUGAGGUAAAGGCUCACCAAGGCGAUGAUACAUAGCCGACCUGAGAGGGUGAUCGGCCACAUUGGGACUGAGACACGGCCCAAACUCCUACGGGAGGCAGCAGUAGGGAAUCUUCGGCAAUGGACGAAAGUCUGACCGAGCAACGCCGCGUGAGUGAAGAAGGUUUUCGGAUCGUAAAACACUGUUGGUAGAGAAGAACGUUGGUGAGAGUGGAAAGCUCAUCAAGUGACGGUAACUACCCAGAAAGGGACGGCUAACUACGUG